Molecule: non-coding RNA, 46 nt
Organism: Rattus norvegicus (Norway rat)
Lineage: Eukaryota; Metazoa; Chordata; Mammalia; Rodentia; Muridae
Source: Rfam
UCAAAGGUUCCUAUGGGAACCACAAAUAGUAUUGAACCUUAUCUAU